RNAcentral lists this small RNA (81 nucleotides) under Pantoea brenneri. RNAcentral's name for it is "DapZ". It matches the Rfam family "ABC transporter regulator". Rfam says of the family: DapZ sRNA, encoded in the 3'-UTR of the conserved dapB gene, as a translational repressor with a GcvB-like seed domain. This is the first example of a widely conserved bacterial gene whose 3'-UTR has dual function. Lineage: Bacteria; Pseudomonadati; Pseudomonadota; Gammaproteobacteria; Enterobacterales; Erwiniaceae. RNAcentral also lists the same sequence under 1 other name. The record is from RNAcentral.
GUGAACCAUCAUGAUGUGGUUAUUUCAAUCGGUAAUAGCUUGAUUGAAAAGGGGCAAUGUUUUCAUUGCCCUUAAUUUUAU